UUAAGGUAAGUGCUGAGUUGUCUAUUAUGGAAAGGGAUUGGACUUUGAUUGUGGUUAUCCAAUUUUGGUAAUUAUUUAUAUUUUAUUUGGCUUUGGCUUUUACUUUUGCAAUGUUGGGGGAAUUCUGAAUAGGAGCUUUGGAUUUUGGUUGAUUAUGUUGGGUAGUUUCAAGUGUAGGAUUGGCAUUAAUGGUUAGGUUGAUGGUCAAUAAGGAUGCUGGAAUUUUUAUAUUGUUUUGUG
Molecule: long non-coding RNA, 240 nt
Filed under: Gossypium barbadense (sea-island cotton)
Lineage: Eukaryota; Viridiplantae; Streptophyta; Magnoliopsida; Malvales; Malvaceae
Description: long non-coding RNA (GBAR_LNC020988)
Source: RNAcentral